RNAcentral lists this ribosomal RNA (253 nucleotides) under uncultured bacterium. Its description in RNAcentral is "partial 16S ribosomal RNA". It matches the Rfam family "Bacterial small subunit ribosomal RNA", at positions 524 to 776 of the family's 1533-position model. The record is from RNAcentral.
UACAGAGGUCUCAAGCGUUGUUCGGAUUCAUUGGGCGUAAAGGGUGCGUAGGCGGCGGGGCAAGUCGGAUGUGAAAUCUCAGGGCUCAACCCUGAAACUGCAUUCGAUACUGCCUUGCUCGAGGACUGGAGAGGAGAUUGGAAUUCACGGUGUAGCAGUGAAAUGCGUAGAUAUCGUGAGGAAGAACAGUGGCGAAGGCGGAUCUCUGGACAGUUCCUGACGCUGAGGCACGAAGGCCAGGGGAGCAAACGGG